AAUGAACGCUGGCGGCGUGCCUAAUACAUGCAAGUCGAGCGAACAGACGAGGAGCUUGCUCCUCUGACGUUAGCGGCGGACGGGUGAGUAACACGUGGAUAACCUACCUAUAAGACUGGGAUAACUUCGGGAAACCGGAGCUAAUACCGGAUAAUAUAUUGAACCGCAUGGUUCAAUAGUGAAAGACGGUUUUGCUGUCACUUAUAGCUGAAUCCGCGCCGCAUUAGCUACUUGGUAAGGUAACGGCUUACCAAGGCAACGAUGCGUAGCCGACCUGAGAGGGUGAUCGGCCACACUGGAACUGAGACACGGUCCAGACUCCUACGGGAGGCAGCAGUAGGGAAUCUUCCGCAAAGGGCGAAAGCUUGACGGAGCAACGCCGCGUGAGUGAUGAAGGUCUUCGGAUCGUAAAACUCUGUUAUUAGGGAAGAACAAAUGUGUAAGUAACUAUGCACGUCUUGACGGUACCUAAUCAGAAAGCCACGGCUAACUACGUG
This 497-nucleotide ribosomal RNA is filed under the name uncultured bacterium. RNAcentral describes it as "partial 16S ribosomal RNA". It matches the Rfam family "Bacterial small subunit ribosomal RNA", at positions 29 to 507 of the family's 1533-position model. The record is from RNAcentral.